UACAGAGGGGGCAAGCGUUGUUCGGAAUUACUGGGCGUAAAGGGCGCGUAGGCGGCCUUCUAAGUCGAACGUGAAAUCCCCGGGCUCAACCCGGGAACUGCGUCCGAUACUGGAAGGCUUGAAUCCGGGAGAGGGAUGCGGAAUUCCAGGUGUAGCGGUGAAAUGCGUAGAUAUCUGGAGGAACACCGGUGGCGAAGGCGGCAUCCCGGACCGGCAUUGACGCUGAGGCGCGAAAGCCAGGGGAGCAAACGGG
Molecule: ribosomal RNA, 253 nt
Filed under: uncultured bacterium
Lineage: Bacteria
Description: partial 16S ribosomal RNA
Rfam family: Bacterial small subunit ribosomal RNA
Source: RNAcentral